Molecule: ribosomal RNA, 478 nt
Filed under: uncultured bacterium
Lineage: Bacteria
Description: partial 16S ribosomal RNA
Rfam family: Bacterial small subunit ribosomal RNA
Source: RNAcentral
GAUGAACGCUGGCGGCGUGCUUAACACAUGCGAGUCGAACGAGAAAUGGAGACGGAAACCUUCGGGCGGAAGGCUUCAUUUCGAGUGGCGGACGGGUGAGUAACGCGUGGGUAACCUGCCUCAUACAGGGGGAUAACAGUUGGAAACGACUGUUAAUACCGCAUAAGACCACAGCACCGCAUGGUGCGGGGGUAAAAACUCCGGUGGUAUGAGAUGGACCCGCGUUCGAUUAGCCAGUUGGCGGGGUAACGGCCCACCAAAGCGACGAUCGAUAGCCGAUCUGAGAGGAUGACCGGCCACAUUGGGACUGAGACACGGCCCAAACUCCUACGGGAGGCAGCAGUGGGGAAUAUUGCACAAUGGGGGAAACCCUGAUGCAGCGACGCCGCGUGAGUGAAGAAGUACUUCGGUAUGUAAAGCUCUAUCAGCAGGGAAGAAAAUGACGGUACCUGAGUAAGAAGCCCCGGCUAACUACGUG